CCUACGGGAGACAGCAGUGAGGAAUAUUGGUCAAUGGACGAGAGUCUGAACCAGCCAAGUAGCGUGCAGGAUGACUGCCCUAUGGGUUGUAAACUUCUUUUAUAUGGGAAUAAAAUGUUAUACGUGUGGGAUUUUGUAUGUAUCAUAUGAAUAAGGAUCGGCUAACUCCGUGCCAGCAGCCGCGGUAAUACGGAGGAUCCGAGCGUUAUCCGGAUUUAUUGGGUUUAAAGGGAGCGUAGGUGGAUUGUUAAGUCAGUUGUGAAAGUUUGCGGCUCAACCGUAGAAUUGCAGUUGAAACUGGCAGUCUUGAGUACAGUAGAGGUGGGCGGAAUUCGUGGUGUAGCGGUGAAAUGCUUAGAUAUCACGAAGAACUCCGAUUGCGAAGGCAGUUCACUGGACUGCAACUGACACUGAGGCUCGAAAGUGUGGGUAUCAAACAGGAUUAGAUACCCGUGUAGUC
RNAcentral lists this ribosomal RNA (460 nucleotides) under uncultured bacterium. RNAcentral's name for it is "partial 16S ribosomal RNA". It matches the Rfam family "Bacterial small subunit ribosomal RNA", at positions 338 to 795 of the family's 1533-position model. The record is from RNAcentral.